UACGUAGGGGGCUAGCGUUGUCCGGAAUCAUUGGGCGUAAAGAGCGUGUAGGCGGCUCGGUAAGUCCGCUGUGAAAGUCCAGGGCUCAACCCUGGAAUGCCAGUGGAAACUGUCGAGCUAGAGUCCGGAAGAGGCGAGUGGAAUUCCUGGUGUAGCGGUGAAAUGCGCAGAUAUCAGGAGGAACACCAAUGGCGAAGGCAGCUCGCUGGGACGCGACUGACGCUGAGACGCGAAAGCGUGGGGAGCAAACAGG
This 253-nucleotide ribosomal RNA is filed under the name uncultured bacterium. Its description in RNAcentral is "partial 16S ribosomal RNA". It matches the Rfam family "Bacterial small subunit ribosomal RNA", at positions 524 to 776 of the family's 1533-position model. The record is from RNAcentral.